GUGUCAGCAGCCGCGGUAAUACGUAGGGGGCAAGCGUUGUCCGGAUUCAUUGGGCGUAAAGAGCGUGUAGGCGGUCAGGUAGGUCGGUUGUGAAAACUGGAGGCUCAACCUUCAGAGGUCGACCGAAACCCCCUGGCUAGAGUCCGGGAGAGGAGAGUGGAAUUCCUGGUGUAGCGGUGAAAUGCGCAGAUAUCAGGAAGAACACCCGUGGCGAAGGCGACCUUCUGGGCCGCAACUGACGCUGAGGCACGAAAGCCUGGGGAGCGAACGGGAUUAGAAACCCGUGUAGUCC
This 292-nucleotide ribosomal RNA is filed under the name uncultured bacterium. RNAcentral's name for it is "partial 16S ribosomal RNA". It matches the Rfam family "Bacterial small subunit ribosomal RNA", at positions 505 to 796 of the family's 1533-position model. The record is from RNAcentral.